This 214-nucleotide unclassified non-coding RNA is filed under the name air metagenome. RNAcentral's name for it is "partial contains small subunit ribosomal RNA, internal transcribed spacer 1, and 5.8S ribosomal RNA". The stretch from base 1 to 46 matches the Rfam family "Eukaryotic small subunit ribosomal RNA", at positions 1786 to 1831 of the family's 1831-position model. The record is from RNAcentral.
AAGUCAUAACAAGGUUUCCGUAGGUGAACCUGCGGAAGGAUCAUUAAUGAUGCCCUCGAAGUCUUUGGACUGGUAGGGUUUGUGUCGGUCUCUUCGGAGUCGACCUUAUCUCACACACCGUGAACUGUGGCUUCGGCCAUUUACACAAACUGUUAGUAAUGAAUGUAAAAUCAUAACAAACAUAAAACUUUUAACAACGGAUCUCUUGGCUCUC